ACGGAAGGCAGCAGUGGGGAAUAUUGGACAAUGGGGGAAACCCUGAUCUAGCGACGCCGCGUGAGUGAAGAAGUAUUUCGGUAUGUAAAGCUCUAUCAGCAAGGAAGAAAAUGACGGUACUUGACUAAGAAGCUCCGGCUAAAUACGUGCCAGCAGCCGCGGUAAUACGUAUGGAGCAAGCGUUAUCCGGAUUUACUGGGUGUAAAGGGAGCGUAGACGGCAAAGCAAGUCUGAAGUGAAAUCCCGGGGCUCAACCCCGGAACUGCUUUGGAAACUGUUUAGCUAGAGUGCAGGAGAGGUAAGCGGAAUUCCUAGUGUAGCGGUGAAAUGCGUAGAUAUUAGGAGGAACACCAGUGGCGAAGGCGGCUUACUGGACUGUAACUGACGUUGAGGCUCGAAAGCGUGGGGAGCAAACAGGAUUAGAUACCCUGGUA
This 434-nucleotide ribosomal RNA is filed under the name uncultured Lachnospiraceae bacterium. RNAcentral describes it as "partial 16S ribosomal RNA". It matches the Rfam family "Bacterial small subunit ribosomal RNA", at positions 341 to 792 of the family's 1533-position model. The record is from RNAcentral. Lineage: Bacteria; Bacillati; Bacillota; Clostridia; Lachnospirales; Lachnospiraceae.